AUUUUAUUGAGAAAAUAUAUUAUUUUAGAAAAUAUGAAAUUAUGAAAUAGUUUAUCAACAAGAAUGCGUCCAUAGUACACUGAUGCCCCACUGGCAAUAUCAUUUUCCAUGUUCAGUGGACUGUGAAAAUGGGGUCAAAACUUUAAUUUGGCACCAAAAUUAGAAAGAUCAUAUCAUGGGGAACAUGUGCACUAAGUUUAAAGUUGAUUGGACUUCAACUUCAUCAAAAACUACCUUGACUGAUAACUUUAACCUGAAUCCGGAUGAAGGGACACACCGACAAACGGACGUACAGACCAGAAAACAUAAUUCCCCUCUACUAUCG
This 325-nucleotide long non-coding RNA is filed under the name Mytilus galloprovincialis (Mediterranean mussel). Lineage: Eukaryota; Metazoa; Mollusca; Bivalvia; Mytilida; Mytilidae. The record is from RNAcentral.